AAUGCAAAAGAGAGCCAAAUUUAUCCCCCAUGUUUCUCCUGUGUUUUUUGUGAAGAAACAUCCAAGCAUGCCUUUUUGUACUGUCCUUUUGCAAGAUCAAUUUGGAAUUUGGCUGUUCACUAGGGGUACUUGUUCCACAGACUCAAGAUUUGUCUAUGGAUCAGUGGCUUCUUCAGCUUGGACAACAGGUUGUUCACUCUCAUGCUAUAGGAGUUCAGUCGUCUAUGUUUCUUUUGGACAUCUACUUUUAUCAUGAUACAUUACUCGCCACCAUAUGCCACAUCCAGAUAGAUGGUAGUUGGUUCAACUAGAGAUAUAGUGCAGGUAUCCGGGUUUGGAACAGUAUUUCUGCCUCUCUUUCCAGUUUUAGUAAUAAAGGCAUUGGGAUGGCUACUUUCACUUUGUCUGCAUUGCAUGUUGAGGCGUUAGCACUCCAACAUAGCUUUAUUUGUGCUCUCCAUAUCACUGUGAAUGGAUCAAAUGUGAAAAUGAUGCCACUUACAACACUAUUAUUCGGGGAUGUUUUCAAAAUAAGAUGAAUAAUGAAGCAAGUUUACUCGUAAAAAAAAUGG
Molecule: long non-coding RNA, 572 nt
Filed under: Panax ginseng (ginseng)
Lineage: Eukaryota; Viridiplantae; Streptophyta; Magnoliopsida; Apiales; Araliaceae
Description: long non-coding RNA (PGIN_LNC009677)
Source: RNAcentral